UGCAGUCGAACGGGAAGGCCCUUCGGGGUACUCGAGUGGCGAACGGGUGAGUAACACGUGGGUGAUCUGCCCUGCACUUUGGGAUAAGCCUGGGAAACUGGGUCUAAUACCGAAUACACCUUGCUGGUCGCAUGAUCUGGUGGGGGAAAGCUUUUGCGGUGUGGGAUGGGCCCGCGGCCUAUCAGCUUGUUGGUGAGGUUAUGGCUUACCAAGGCGACGACGGGUAGCCGGCCUGAGAGGGUGACCGGCCACACUGGGACUGAGAUACGGCCCAGACUCCUACGGGAGGCAGCAGUGGGGAAUAUUGCACAAUGGGCGCAAGCCUGAUGCAGCGACGCCGCGUGAGGGAUGACGGCCUUCGGGUUGUAAACCUCUUUCAGCAGGGACGAAGCGCAAGUGACGGUACCUGUAGAAGAAGGACCGGCCAACUACGUGCCAGCAGCCGCGGUAAUACGUAGGGUCCGAGCGUUGUCCGGAAUUACUGGGCGUAAAGAGCUCGUAGGUGGUUUGUCGCGUUGUUCGUGAAAACUCACAGCUCAACUGUGGGCGUGCGGGCGAUACGGGCAGACUGGAGUACUGCAGGGGAGACUGGAAUUCCUGGUGUAGCGGUGGAAUGCGCAGAUAUCAGGAGGAACACCGGUGGCGAAGGCGGGUCUCUGGGCAGUAACUGACGCUGAGGAGCGAAAGCGUGGGGAGCGAACAGGAUUAGAUACCCUGGUAGUCCACGCCGUAAACGGUGGGUACUAGGUGUGGGUUUCCUUCCUUGNGAUCCGUGCCGUAGCUAACGCAUUAAGUACCCCGCCUGGGGAGUACGGCCGCAAGGCUAAAACUCAAAGAAAUUGACGGGGGCCCGCACAAGCGGCGGAGCAUGUGGAUUAAUUCGAUGCAACGCGAAGAACCUUACCUGGGUUUGACAUGCACAGGACGCUGGUAGAGAUAUCAGUUCCCUUGUGGCCUGNGUGCNGNNGGUGCAUGGCUGUCGUCAGCUCGUGUCGUGAGAUGUUGGGUUAAGUCCCGCAACGAGC
This 1025-nucleotide ribosomal RNA is filed under the name Mycobacterium sp. URHB0049. RNAcentral describes it as "bacterial SSU rRNA". It matches the Rfam family "Bacterial small subunit ribosomal RNA", at positions 56 to 1097 of the family's 1533-position model. Lineage: Bacteria; Bacillati; Actinomycetota; Actinomycetes; Mycobacteriales; Mycobacteriaceae. The record is from RNAcentral.